This 450-nucleotide ribosomal RNA is filed under the name uncultured bacterium. RNAcentral describes it as "partial 16S ribosomal RNA". It matches the Rfam family "Bacterial small subunit ribosomal RNA", at positions 354 to 796 of the family's 1533-position model. The record is from RNAcentral.
GCUAAGAAUAUUCCGCAAUGGACGAAAGUCUGACGGAGCGACGCCGCGUGGAUGACGAAGGCCGAAAGGUUGUAAAGUCCUUUUGUCGAUGAAGAAUAAGUGCGGUAGGGAAUGACCGUAUGAUGACGUUAGUCGGCGAAUAAGCCCCGGCUAAUUACGUGCCAGCAGCCGCGGUAACACGUAAGGGGCAAGCGUUGUUCGGAAUUAUUGGGCGUAAAGGGUACGUAGGCGGUUAUGUAAGCCCGGCGUGAAAUCCUGCAGCUUAACUGUAGAGCUGCGAUGGGAACUGCAAAACUGGAGUCAUGGAAGGGAAGUUAGAAUUCCGGGUGUAGGGGUGAAAUCUGUAGAUAUCUGGAAGAAUACCGGUGGCGAAGGCGAACUUCUGGCCAAUGACUGACGCUGAGGUACGAAAGUGCGGGGAGCAAACAGGAUUAGAUACCCGUGUAGUCC